This 460-nucleotide ribosomal RNA is filed under the name uncultured bacterium. RNAcentral describes it as "partial 16S ribosomal RNA". It matches the Rfam family "Bacterial small subunit ribosomal RNA", at positions 338 to 795 of the family's 1533-position model. The record is from RNAcentral.
CCUACGGGUGACAGCAGUGAGGAAUAUUGGUCAAUGGACGAGAGUCUGAACCAGCCAAGUAGCGUGAAGGAUGACUGCCCUAUGGGUUGUAAACUUCUUUUAUAUGGGAAUAAAACGUUCCACGUGUGGGAUUUUGUAUGUACCAUAUGAAUAAGGAUCGGCUAACUCCGUGCCAGCAGCCGCGGUAAUACGGAGGAUCCGAGCGUUAUCCGGAUUUAUUGGGGUUAAAGGGAGCGUAGGUGGAGUGUUAAGUCAGUUGUGAAAGUUUGCGGCUCAACCGUAAAAUUGCCGUUGAAACUGGCAGUCUUGAGUACGGUAGAGGUGGGCGGAAUGCGUGGUGUAGCGGUGAAAUGCUUAGAUAUCACGAAGAACUCCGAUUGCGAAGGCAGUUCACUGGACUGCAACUGACACUGAGGCACGAAAGUGUGGGUAUCAAACAGGAUUAGAUACCCUUGUAGUC